RNAcentral lists this ribosomal RNA (299 nucleotides) under Phytobacter palmae. Its description in RNAcentral is "Kosakonia sp. S29 23S rRNA. Bacterial LSU". It matches the Rfam family "Bacterial large subunit ribosomal RNA", at positions 2632 to 2925 of the family's 2925-position model. The record is from RNAcentral. Lineage: Bacteria; Pseudomonadati; Pseudomonadota; Gammaproteobacteria; Enterobacterales; Enterobacteriaceae.
CGGUCCCUAUCUGCCGUGGGCGCUGGAGAAUUGAGGGGGGCUGCUCCUAGUACGAGAGGACCGGAGUGGACGCAUCACUGGUGUUCGGGUUGUCAUGCCAAUGGCACUGCCCGGUAGCUACAUGCGGAAGAGAUAAGUGCUGAAAGCAUCUAAGCACGAAACUUGCCCCGAGAUGAGUUCUCCCUGACUCUUUAAGAGUCCUGAAGGAACGUUGAAGACGACGACGUUGAUAGGCCGGGUGUGUAAGCGCAGCGAUGCGUUGAGCUAACCGGUACUAAUGAACCGUGAGGCUUAACCUU